Long non-coding RNA from Bubalus bubalis (water buffalo), 1306 nucleotides. RefSeq lists it as uncharacterized. The record is from RefSeq and is a predicted model, not a curated record. Lineage: Eukaryota; Metazoa; Chordata; Mammalia; Artiodactyla; Bovidae. The transcript is spliced from 2 exons.
GGAAUGUCGCGAGGAGAGUGAAAGGGAAUUCUUCACUGAAUCUGGGGCGACCGAGGUUGGCAAAGCUGGAACCAGCUCGGGUUUCUCACCUGUAAAGGGGAGAUAGCACUUAUCCCAGAGGACUGUGCAGAGAAUUAGUGAGAUGUAGUACAAAACUCACGGGCUAAGGGGACAUGGGUGUUUGCCAAGUAAACUAGUGAGGUUACUGUCUGCCUGAAGAACUUGACAAGUGAUGGGGAGUUAAUAAUUAAUUAGUUACAUUUUCUCCAGAGAAGGGUAGACCUUUGGCUUUAGAAGUUGAUUUUUAAAGUAUUUGACUUUUCUUUCUUUUUUUCUGCUGUACACUGCCAGGUAGGGGUGGGCAAUCACUCCUCCCAUCCCUAGUUCAAAACCCACCUUCUGGUUCUUAGGAUAAUAUAAUGGCUCAAAAGAAGCCCAUUAUUCAUCAUUUUGUUACGAAAUACGCCCACAGCCAAACACAGAAAGAGGGGCUGAUUUUUGCUGGCAUAUCAGAGGCACCCAAUAAGGGAAGGCAACCUUUUGAUUUUAAUGUAGAGAAUAAGCUGUUGCUGCGUUGCAAAUGAGCUCAACAAAUCCCAAGAGAAUUUCUUCUUGAUGCGAGACAGAAUCUAGAAUAUUAAAUAAGAUUUCUCAUUGUCAACCUUUAGUACACAUAAGCUUUGUAGAGCUGAAAUCAGUGAUUCUACAGAGCACUCCCCAUUAAGGAAACAGUGACACCAGAAAACCUACAACAUGUUAUAGAGCCAGAGAUGCCGUAUUAGGAGGACUGGCUGCAUCUGGGAGGGCAUUCAGGGGUGAGGAAAUGGGCGCCUGGAGGGUGUGUCGGGCAGGCAGCUGAUGUAAAGGAGCAGUUAAGGCAGUUGAAUACCUGACUUGAACUCAGGGCUCCUGACUUACCACAAAGUCUAAUCGACUCCAACAAAUCAGUGCUGCUUUUUCAUCCCUUUACAGAUGGCCUGCUAAGCCCCAGCUUGGAGCAUCUGAAUGGAGAUUCUGGGACAUCUGACCUCUGCAGUGAGAAGAUGCUGUGCCUGAGCCGCUGCCCCACAAGCAUCUGGGUGCCGGGCUGCAUUCGCGUAUUGCAGAGCCAUUCCAGCCGACCUGCAGACUUGCAGCCUGAAGCUGAGCCAUGCAGAAGACAUGCAGACUCCUGAAUGGGAUCUGACUAUUUAUUUGUGUCCGUCACUGUGAUUGGGGGACUGUUACAUAGCAAUGCCUAACAGUUACAUGUGCGAAUUUCAUUUAUUAAUAUUUUAGAAAAUUUAUUAAAUUAUUGGAAAUAAAA